Molecule: long non-coding RNA, 288 nt
Filed under: Gossypium barbadense (sea-island cotton)
Lineage: Eukaryota; Viridiplantae; Streptophyta; Magnoliopsida; Malvales; Malvaceae
Description: long non-coding RNA (GBAR_LNC000338)
Source: RNAcentral
GGAAGUGCCACGAAAGAGUUUGCGGAUAUUGUAAUAUCUGGUGAACUCAUAGAGAAUGCCGUCAAGAGCGGUAGAAUGGAAGGAUCAGAAGGCUCAAGAAAAGCAGCACCCUUAAGGAAGAAAGAGCCAGAAGCCCACAUGGUGGGAACUGGGAGUCGUUACAUUCUCAAUUCGUAUCCUAACCAACCCCGACCUCGAAAUUAUCCACCCUCGAAUUUCUAUUAUCCCCCUCAAACCCCUUACUACCAAGCACCACAUCCGUCCUGCCCCGUAUACGCCACGAACAAC